GACGAACGCUGGCGGCGUGCUUAACACAUGCAAGUCGAACGGAAAGGCCCUGCUUUUGUGGGGUGCUCGAGUGGCGAACGCGUGAGUAACACGUGAGUAACCUGCCCUUGACUUUGGGAUAACUUCAGGAAACUGGGGCUAAUACCGGGUAGGAGCUCCUGCUGCAUGGUGGGGGUUGGAAAGUUUCGGCGGUUGGGGAUGGACUCGCGGCUUAUCAGCUUGUUGGUGGGGUAGUGGCUUACCAAGGCUUUGACGGGUAGCCGGCCUGAGAGGGUGACCGGCCUCAUUGGUACUGCGAUACGGCCCAGACUCCUACGUGAGGCAGCAGUGGGGAAUAUUGCACAACGGGCGGAAGCCUGAUGCAGCAACGCCGCGUGCGUGAUGACGGCCUUCGGGUUGUAAACCGCUUUCGCCUGUGACGAAGCGUGAGUGACGGUAAUGGGUAAAGAAGCACCGGCUAACUACGUG
RNAcentral lists this ribosomal RNA (468 nucleotides) under uncultured bacterium. Its description in RNAcentral is "partial 16S ribosomal RNA". It matches the Rfam family "Bacterial small subunit ribosomal RNA", at positions 28 to 507 of the family's 1533-position model. The record is from RNAcentral.